RNAcentral lists this ribosomal RNA (496 nucleotides) under uncultured bacterium. RNAcentral's name for it is "bacterial SSU rRNA". It matches the Rfam family "Bacterial small subunit ribosomal RNA", at positions 17 to 507 of the family's 1533-position model. The record is from RNAcentral.
UCCUGGCUCAGGAUGAACGCUAGCGGCAGGCUUAACACAUGCAAGGUCGAGGGGCAGCACAGGGAGCAAUCCGUGGGUGGCGACCGGCGGAAGGGUGCGUAACGCGUGAGCAACUUGCCCGUAUCUGGGGGAUAACCGAUGGAAACGUCGACUAAUACCCCAUAACAUACCGGAUGGCAUCAUUUGGUAUUGAAAGUUACGAUGGAUACGGAUAGGCUCGCGUGACAUUAGCUAGUUGGAGUGGUAACGGCACACCAAGGCGACGAUGUCUAGGGGUUCUGAGAGGAAGGUCCCCCACACUGGAACUGAGACACGGUCCAGACUCCUACGGGAGGCAGCAGUGAGGAAUAUUGGUCAAUGGGCGGAAGCCUGAACCAGCCAUGCCGCGUGAAGGAAUAAGGCCCUAUGGGUCGUAAACUUCUUUUGACGGGGAGCAAUAAGAUCUACGUGUAGAUCGAUGAGAGUACUCGUCGAAUAAGCAUCGGCUAACUCCGUG